RNAcentral lists this ribosomal RNA (497 nucleotides) under uncultured bacterium. RNAcentral describes it as "partial 16S ribosomal RNA". It matches the Rfam family "Bacterial small subunit ribosomal RNA", at positions 28 to 507 of the family's 1533-position model. The record is from RNAcentral.
GAUGAACGCUGGCGGCGUGCCUAAUACAUGCAAGUCGAGCGAACGGACGAGAAGCUUGCUUCUCUGAUGUUAGCGGCGGACGGGUGAGUAACACGUGGAUAGCCUACCUAUAAGACUGGGAUAACUUCGGGAAACCGGAGCUAAUACCGGAUGAUAUUUUGAACCGCAUGGUUCAAAAGUGAAAGACGGUCUUGCUGUCACUUAUAGAUGGAUCCGCGCUGCAUUAGCUAGUUGGUAAGGUAACGGCUUACCAAGGCAACGAUGCAUAGCCGACCUGAGAGGGUGAUCGGCCACCCUGGAACUGAGACACGGUCCAGACUCCUACGGGAGGCAGCAGUAGGGAAUCUUCCGCAAUGGGCGAAAGCCUGACGGAGCAACGCCGCGUGAGUGAUGAAGGUCUUCGGAUCGUAAAACUCUGUUAUUAGGGAAGAACAUAUGUGUAAGUAACUGUGCACAUCUUGACGGUACCUAAUCAGAAAGCCACGGCUAACUACGUG